UUAAGAGUUGGCAAUGGAGGUAAGGAUACCUUUUUGGGGAUUCUUGCAAGCUUGAGGCUUUCUGAAGGUUUUCACCUCAGGCCAAGUGCCUAAUGAACCCCAAAGGGCUGUGUUCUCCUAAGUAAAGGCACAGCAAGGACUGCUGCUGUUUCCUCCCCUUCAAUCUCUACCUCUGCAGUUCCUGAUUCACCAUGGGACACAGCAGCCUGAGCAAGAACAGGAACAAAGAGCAAAGCAGAUAACAGCAGGACACAGAGAAGAUGGUACUGGGUCAAACCCAAGAUCCAUCUACCGCAAGAUUCACCUGGAAGCAGACAACAGUAAAUGUUUACUGAAGAGUAUAAUAGGAGACAUACAGAAUAAUCCUUUGCCUUGCACUGCCAUCUAAUUCUUGGUUUACAGACUUGCUAGAUAAGAGUUUGCAUUUUAACCACUGUGUUCAAUGGCCUUCUAUGGAGCUCUUCUCCACAAUUCAAUAGGAAUACACCAUCUACACACCAUUUUAAGGGCCAUUCCUUUGAAAACUUGCAAGUGGAACUUUGAUCUCCUGUGGAUACUUUUUUCUGUCUCAGUUCCCUGGGAGAAAACAAGUACUGCUUACCUCUAGAAUGUGAUCGUGGAAGAGUUGACUUGGUUUGGAUUGUGAGGUUACAUUCAUGCAAGGAGGAUUUUUUCACAAACUUCAGAGUCACGAGGAUAAAAUUCUGGAAGCUUCACUCCAAAGAUACAGGUCAAAAGUAUAAUAGUCCCUUCAGCGUAAAACCUAAGACAGCCAUGCAGUUUGCACAGUCUGAAAUUCUGCAUAAAUUGAGGACAUUCUUUGUAUAGGACUAAACCAUGCAGUUAACAUUUUGAUUUACCUUACUACGUAUGCACUCAUUUUAACACUGUAAGAUGUGAAAAUACACAUUAACAGAAAAAAUUCUAUGAAUAUGUUUAAUAUAUAUUACACAUACCACAUAAAUACCAAGUAUGCACACAAGGGAGGAAAGAGUACUAACUGCUUUUUCUUUAAUUUUGUCGUAAAGGAUCACAAUGAAUAACACAUUUAAUCCAUCUCAGGUAUCAUUUUUCUUCCGCACAAUUUUUUUCCAUUAUUCAGCUAUUUUGGUCCACAUGAAAGCAAAUCUAAAAUCAGUGAUUCUGAGGCUUACAGCCUCCCUAAUGGCUUCUCACAUGUACAUCACGAAACACAAGCAAAGAAAAAGCAAAGAGAACCUGAGCAGUCAGGGGGGCUAGGGACUUAAAAUUAUUCUAUAUGUUUUAGUCUGAUUUGGGGGACUAAGAGGAUUAACUUCCCAUUAACUUCUGCCUGCAUGAUUGAACUUCCAUGUUGUCUGCAUGUUUUACUGGAAAUCAUAAUCCAAACUCUGCACUGACUUUCAUACUGCCAUGGCUGCAGGUUUAAAAUUUCUUUUUUCUGUUGUUUAGUUUAUUUGUCUGUUUUCCUAAAGACAACUUUGGGAUACUGUAAAGUUUCUAAGAUGCAGAAAUAAAGCUGCUU
This is a long non-coding RNA of Gallus gallus (chicken), 1504 nucleotides long. The record is from Ensembl. Lineage: Eukaryota; Metazoa; Chordata; Aves; Galliformes; Phasianidae.